RNAcentral lists this long non-coding RNA (3021 nucleotides) under Coffea arabica (coffee). RNAcentral's name for it is "long non-coding RNA (CARA_LNC000524)". Lineage: Eukaryota; Viridiplantae; Streptophyta; Magnoliopsida; Gentianales; Rubiaceae. The record is from RNAcentral.
GAAGCUAAAGGAAAUCAGAUUUCUCUCCAUCUUCUCUCUCCUCAUUGCCGACCAGCCCUCUCCUCUCUCUAACUCCCUUGCUUCAAAAUUUCAGCUCACUAAUCUCACUCAAAACCACCCCAAAUCAUCUCCAAAUUCAACCAAACUUGCACCACACCUAGCUUGACACUUGAGGAGCAUUUUGAGCUGCAAACAAGGGCUGGAAAUCACGGUUUUUCUGGGGUAAUAGAGGGCCGAAAAUUCUGCUGAACAUCAACCCAAAGUAAGUGAUGAUCCACUCUUGGAAACUUGAAGUUUGGAAGCUAUCUUACCUUGUUAAGUUCAUGCAUGCAUUUGGUUAGCUUGAUAUGGAUGUAAAAUGUGAUAGUGGGCUCUUUGUAUUCCCACACUUGGGUUGUUGUUGCUGAUUUGAGGAUCAAUGUUGGAUUUAAUGGUAGUUUAAUGGUUAUAAUGAUGAAUUUAUGGAGUGUUAUUGUUGGGAACUCAAGUAGAGGUCAUGACCAGAAAUUGCCGAAUCUGCCCCUGUUUUGUUCGGCCAUGAUAAGGCCCAUUUUUGGUGAUUUAUUGGCAUAAUCCUGAUGUGUAUAUGUUAUAUUAUGUGUGUAGAAAUUUUCGUUGGAAAACAUUAAUGAUUGGAUGGGCAAAUGAAUUUAUUCAUGAACUAGGCAUGCUGGAAAAUUAUUUUCGGGUAAAACUGUCCAGUGGUUGUAUUUUGGCCAUAACUCUGUCCUCGGGUGUCGAAAUCAAGUGCCGUUGGUGGCGUUUGAAACUAGACAUUCCUAGCUUUAAUUUGAGAUAAAAUGCACGUUCUGAUUCUUUGUGAGUGAUCCGAACCAAACGUUUUAAGUUAGCUGUCCUGUCUCUCGGAUUUGCUGGAAUGGCUUGUUGAGGCAGCAACUUGAGGCUCAAUUUUGAGCUGGUUGCUUGCCAAAUUUCAGAAAAUUUCCUUCUGUGAACUUUUAUUCCCGUGAAUGUAUUUUCUAACGCCAUAAACCAUGCCUCAUUCCGAGUUAAAUUGAUUGAGUUGUGACUAAAACAAGAGGACUGCCCUGUUUUGGAAAAACGUAGUAUUUGGACUGAUUUGGGGCAAAACUUGGGAAUGAUUUUAUUAAUUGAAGUUCUUGAUGCUCAUCACUUACCAAAGGUAUCAUGGAUGUGUCUUAGACCUUUGUUUCACAAAUGAACCAUGUUCGGAUAGUUUUCUUGGUUAAACGAUUUGAAAUUGUGAAAUGAAAGUCACAAGGCAGAUUGCCUUAGAAUUUUUCCUGAACUUUGGUUGACUAAUUAACUACCUUCCCGAGGGUAUUUUUCCCUGAAAUUUGAUAGAGGGAUACCUUGCAUAUAGGAGUAAAAUACUACCAAUUUUGGCACCAAUUCAAGUUCGUUUCGAUACCGAAUUAAAUUGCUAGUGUUGGAGGUUCAAAACUGGAAAUUCUUCUUCAGUCUUGAAUCUUCCUCAACUUUGAGCUACCGUAUCUCGGUACUCGAAACUCCGAUUCUUGAUCCGCUUGUUUUGUUAUAAACCUCACCUGUGACACUAAUUGAGCUGUAAAUUUCAGAGGCCGGUUUGCAACAUGUGAAUCGUGCCGAAUUUCCAAAGUUGGCCGAAAUCCAACUUAAUUCUGCCUUGUACGCCGAACCUGUACCUUCAAGCUCAUUUUUGAAUACCUCCCACUUAGAUUCAUGGAAAAGUGUCUUUUAAGAACUUUUAUUACUUUCUAAGAGGUUUCCAACGGUACCAAGUUUUAUAAUUUUGGACCUACUGAGUGCAAGAUCUGAUUUUUCUAAAUUUGACGCGCAAAGCUGAAAUUUGCUGAUUUCUUAGAAAAUGAAAAUUUGAAAACUUGUUACUCCUUCUUGAUGAUAAUUGAUCGCUUUAAACUUGAUUUCAUGAAGGAAAUCAGUUUUUCUUGUGUUAAUAAAACCUCACUUUUGAACCUUUAUUUUGAGUGGCUAAGGUUCUUGGUUUGAGGUAUUGACUAGUCCAAAUAAGCGUAACUCCUUUCUUGAUUAAUACGUGAUUGUGAGUGAAAAAUACUUGUUAAUUGCUUCAGGUGCUCAAGCGAGUCUUGAAAAGAAUCCCGGAGGGGACAACUAAAGAUUUUCUCGCUCAAUUACUUUUGAAUUGGUGAGUGUCAAGUGCCUGACUUGUCGUGUUUACUUGAUUUACCUGCUUAUAUACGUGAAUAUCACUUGAUGAGACGAGUGUGUACUUUAUCGCACUCGCUCUCCUUUACUUGAACUUUACUUGUAUUAACUUGGUUUUCAAAGUCGAUUGAGUGAAUCUCGUCGACUAAAAUAUACCCGUUUUCGUGUGCGUGUCGUGUUGCCAUGCAUGUCGUGUACGUCGUGCGUGUCAUGUUGUCGGGUGGAGUGAACCUCCUCGACUUAUGGGGACGCCCAAUUCUCUUAACCAAUCUUACAACUCGAGCCGGCAUGGGCUUGGUCGAGAAGUUUGAUAAACCAAGAGAAUAACAAAACACAACUUGAUCUUUUGAGAUCUUGUUCGGCAUACUCGUGGAGUAUCGCCCUUUCCGUGCGUGUUCAAAAAUCAAAACUUGAUCUCUUGAGAUCUCGUGUGGCAUACUCAACGAGUAUCGCCUUUUUCGUGCGUGUUUGGUUUCGGAUCCGAGAGGGUGGAAUGUUGGUCGGAGGAAGUAAUAAGUGAAGUUUCUACGGAUAAAAUACCCACCAGGAUAACGGAGUGUCAUCACGAGGGGGUAUCGGAUCGAGCCGUGGCGAAGCAAGAGGAAAAUAGCUCCUGAGAGCUCCUAUAUCCUUGAAUUGUUUCUGUUUAUUUUUCUCGCUCGAAUUGUAAAUUACUUGAAUAUUGGGAUUGUUAUUUGGACAACGUGUUUGCAUGUGUGUUUUCUUGGCCUCACGAGCGUUUCGCUCACCCCGUAGAUUUGUUUUCCUUAACAGGAAUGGAUGGAGUGAAACUCGUUGGAACCCUUUGGAUGUACUUUUGUAUUAGGGUUUCAAUUGUAAUUGACUAGACAUUUUGGCUAUUGUAUAUAUUUG